AGUGGAUAAAAUCCCGGAAAUACGGAGAGCAAUUUGGCCUCGAAUUCGUAUGUAUUCUUUACUAAACAGCACGGCUUUUGGGAGGUGAGCGUUGCCUUUCUGCGGAUGAAAUAGCUGACAAUGAGUUAUCUCAUGAAGAAGUUAAUGCUGUGAAAUGGGAGCAGACUGACCGACCAGUUUGUUUUCAGUACUCACUGAAUGGAUGUAUGAACAGAACCACCACAGGUAAGACUGCUGGACAUUUACCUGAGAGAAAAAAACACAGAGGGACAUAUAAGUGUUAGAUGUCUGCUUAUGUAUUUUAAAAAAACGUUUCUUCUGUUUGUUCUUUCAACAAAGCAACAAAAAAUAAAAUUAAAUGUUCCCUGUUUUGUCUUAUAAUGUCUAACUUAAAUAAUGAAAACCCAUUUUGUAGAAUUUAGUAGAAUAAUUAUUAUAAAAUAUCCCCAAUGUGACUGUAAAAAUAUUUUAAUUCAACCUUAUUUUUUUUUACAAGAAAUGGGUCAAAAAUCGUAUUUUUUAAGCCCUCAAAUGGUCAAUUCUGUUUUUGUUUUUGUUGGUGGUGAAUUUUUCUACUUCUUUGUGAAUAAACUUGUUUUUGGUGAAAUAAUGAAUAAAUUGACCAGUUAAGAAAGUACAAUUUUCUGUGCUAUUACAGGAAGUGAGUGGUCGGUCUUCAGCCUCUUUUACACAGAUCUGUAGUCAUGUAACGAGUGAACCAGAGAAAGUUUUCUGCUGCGCUCAGUCUCUCACAGGGAAACAAUCCUCCAUGAUCUAACCUUCUGACCUCUCCUCCAGCACCUCUGUCAGAACAAACAUCACAUAUUCUGCAUCGCUGAGGCGCCACAUUCAGGAGAAGUUUGUUUAUCAUGUAUUGCCAAAAGCACUUUUGUCAUGUCAGCUGUUGUUGUUACAAAAGUUUAAUGUUAUGAAAUGAUUUAAACCUGAGUUAAUGCAGGAGGAUACACUGGAGGUGAGGUGAGAGGUCGGAAAGAGUCGGUAAAUAUGUACCGCCUUCAGAGGUACAAGCUAAAGAUCCACUGUUUGCAGAAUCACAACAUAUUGUGCUUUUUUUUCAGUGUAAUUUCCCAGCGAGUGUGAUAGCAGAUGGUGUACUUUUAGAGGGGAACUUCUCCUGACAUGCCGGCUAAUUUGAUGUAGUGUGAGCCCUCCCCCCAUAAGAAAUUAAAGUUAAAGUGCCCUGCUGAGAGGACUCAUUAGUGAGACACAUUUAAGAGAAAAGUUAAAGAGAGAAAAAGACAAAUUCUGUUGAUUAAACUUUCCACCCCUUGUGGAUCUGAACUCGUGUUUUUCCACUGCAGAACAUUUGCAGAAUGUGAUUCUGAGAGGAGUCGCUGAGUGCAUUAUGCAUGGUUUGUGUCUUUAUUAGAGAAGUUUGCUCCGACAGAAGAGACCUUGGAUGGUUAUGAGAAAAAGGCUGAAUCCAAAGGUGACCCUGGUAAACCAAAACACACUCGGCCUUUACUGAACCACCUGUCUAACUACAAAUAUCGGUGUUGUGUUUCAUGCCACUCAGAGAAAUCAAGUUUAAACCGGAUUUGCACUAAAUCCUUUGACGAGGUAAAAGUCACAUAUGCCGCCUUGUUUGUACACAUCUUGGAGUUCAGCCAAAUCCUUGCAAACUGGCGAAGGCGCUGAUUCAAUUUGGAGAUCCGAGCUUCUUUUCUCCAGACCCAGAGUGUGACAAAAUAUAAUGGGAUAGAUUUGUAAAUCUGAGGAUAAUCUAAGUGCGAUGUGGGGAGAUUUAAAGGUCAGGUAAAAAAAAGCAGUCAGCUCGAAGCAGACCUCCAUCAAGCUCGAUAAUCCCCCAGCUAACCAUUCCUUUCAGAGCCAGUAUCGGACCAGGUGGAUGACUGAACACUUCUGCGGCGGUGACCAAAACUUCACUCCAUGGACGCCCACCAGGAAAGAUCAUGUCAUCAAAUUUAUGGAGACAUACGUGUGCAAAAUGUCGUAUUUGAGUUGGGCUAAACACUGAUGGUGGUUCAGACAUGAGAAGAUGGACAUGUUGGCCAAGGAUUCAUCAGAAGACAGGACUGAUGGUGUUUAUAUCAUGAUUACAGAUGCCUGAAAUUGCUGUGAGGGGGUAGGUGUCAAUAAAGGUGCAGAAGAAAAAGCCAAUUUUCUAAAUUUUUCAUUUAAAAACUAAAGACUAAAUGUGAUUUCAAG
This 2190-nucleotide long non-coding RNA is filed under the name Xyrichtys novacula (pearly razorfish). Lineage: Eukaryota; Metazoa; Chordata; Actinopteri; Labriformes; Labridae. The record is from RNAcentral.